GGCCGAUUGGCCUAAUGGUAAGGCGUGAGUCUCCUACUGGAGAGUUCAACUCAAGAUUGCGGGUUCGAUCCCCGUGUCGGUCG
Non-coding RNA from Aspergillus carlsbadensis, 83 nucleotides. Lineage: Eukaryota; Fungi; Ascomycota; Eurotiomycetes; Eurotiales; Aspergillaceae. The record is from the annotation of a GenBank genome assembly.